Podarcis lilfordi (Lilford's wall lizard) is the source of this 69-nucleotide non-coding RNA. The record is from the annotation of a GenBank genome assembly. NCBI's taxonomy places the organism in Eukaryota, Metazoa, Chordata, Lepidosauria, Squamata, Lacertidae.
GCUGUGGCUCAGUGGGAGAGCAUUUGCUUUACAUGCAGAAGGUUCCAGGCUCAAAUUAUGACAUCUUCA